GUUCCGUAGGUGAACCUGCGGAAGGAUCAUUCAUAAUAAAGUGUUUUAUGGCACUUUUUAAAAAUCCAUAUCCACCUUGUGUGCAAUGUUAGAUCUCGUCAAUCUUGGCGAGAUUUUUAUACAUCAACUCAUUCUUUAACUAAUUUGUCUGAAAAAUAUUAUGAAUACUUAAUUCAAAAUACAACUUUCAACAACGGAUCUCUUGGCUCUCACAUCGAUGAAGAACGCGC
Molecule: unclassified non-coding RNA, 230 nt
Filed under: plant metagenome
Description: partial contains small subunit ribosomal RNA, internal transcribed spacer 1, and 5.8S ribosomal RNA
Rfam family: 5.8S ribosomal RNA (bases 183-230)
Source: RNAcentral